RNAcentral lists this ribosomal RNA (1411 nucleotides) under Klebsiella variicola. Its description in RNAcentral is "bacterial SSU rRNA". Lineage: Bacteria; Pseudomonadati; Pseudomonadota; Gammaproteobacteria; Enterobacterales; Enterobacteriaceae. The record is from RNAcentral.
ACACAUGCAAGUCGAGCGGUAGCACAGAGAGCUUGCUCUCGGGUGACGAGCGGCGGACGGGUGAGUAAUGUCUGGGAAACUGCCUGAUGGAGGGGGAUAACUACUGGAAACGGUAGCUAAUACCGCAUAAYGUCGCAAGACCAAAGUGGGGGACCUUCGGGCCUCAUGCCAUCAGAUGUGCCCAGAUGGGAUUAGCUAGUAGGUGGGGUAACGGCUCACCUAGGCGACGAUCCCUAGCUGGUCUGAGAGGAUGACCAGCCACACUGGAACUGAGACACGGUCCAGACUCCUACGGGAGGCAGCAGUGGGGAAUAUUGCACAAUGGGCGCAAGCCUGAUGCAGCCAUGCCGCGUGUGUGAAGAAGGCCUUCGGGUUGUAAAGCACUUUCAGCGGGGAGGAAGGCGUUAAGGUUAAUAACCUUGUCGAUUGACGUUACCCGCAGAAGAAGCACCGGCUAACUCCGUGCCAGCAGCCGCGGUAAUACGGAGGGUGCAAGCGUUAAUCGGAAUUACUGGGCGUAAAGCGCACGCAGGCGGUCUGUCAAGUCGGAUGUGAAAUCCCCGGGCUCAACCUGGGAACUGCAUUCGAAACUGGCAGGCUAGAGUCUUGUAGAGGGGGGUAGAAUUCCAGGUGUAGCGGUGAAAUGCGUAGAGAUCUGGAGGAAUACCGGUGGCGAAGGCGGCCCCCUGGACAAAGACUGACGCUCAGGUGCGAAAGCGUGGGGAGCAAACAGGAUUAGAUACCCUGGUAGUCCACGCCGUAAACGAUGUCGAUUUGGAGGUUGUGCCCUUGAGGCGUGGCUUCCGGAGCUAACGCGUUAAAUCGACCGCCUGGGGAGUACGGCCGCAAGGUUAAAACUCAAAUGAAUUGACGGGGGCCCGCACAAGCGGUGGAGCAUGUGGUUUAAUUCGAUGCAACGCGAAGAACCUUACCUGGUCUUGACAUCCACAGAACUUUCCAGAGAUGGAUUGGUGCCUUCGGGAACUGUGAGACAGGUGCUGCAUGGCUGUCGUCAGCUCGUGUUGUGAAAUGUUGGGUUAAGUCCCGCAACGAGCGCAACCCUUAUCCUUUGUUGCCAGCGGUUAGGCCGGGAACUCAAAGGAGACUGCCAGUGAUAAACUGGAGGAAGGUGGGGAUGACGUCAAGUCAUCAUGGCCCUUACGACCAGGGCUACACACGUGCUACAAUGGCAUAUACAAAGAGAAGCGACCUCGCGAGAGCAAGCGGACCUCAUAAAGUAUGUCGUAGUCCGGAUUGGAGUCUGCAACUCGACUCCAUGAAGUCGGAAUCGCUAGUAAUCGUAGAUCAGAAUGCUACGGUGAAUACGUUCCCGGGCCUUGUACACACCGCCCGUCACACCAUGGGAGUGGGUUGCAAAAGAAGUAGGUAGCUUAACCUUCGGGAGGGCGCU